ACACGCACACACACACAUAUCAUAUAUAUAUAUAUAUAUAUAUAUAUAUAUAUAUAUAUAUAUAUAUAUAUAUAUAUAUAUAUAUAUAUAUAUAUACAUUAAUACCAUGUGAUUCCAACUGUAUGUCAUGUAUCAAUGCAAAAAUACCAGCUCAUUUUCCCAGAGGAUGUGACAUUUAUUGAUGGCUUUGAUAUAGCAGGAUAAAGCUGCACUAAAUCAUUUUAAUCAUCAACUUCUCUUUUUCCCCCCUCAAAAUGAUUUUCCUGGCAUAGACUGAAGUUGGUCUAAAUCAAUUACAGACCAGCUUGUACCUGGCUGUGAUUCUUGCACUUGGCAUCAGAAGACACUUGUAAUGCACAACUAAGUUUCUUUACUUGUCAAGAAGUGUUCUCCCAGUUUUGCAAUUUGGAAUGGUGAUGCAUGAAUGAAUUUACACUAGAGGAAGUUUAUCAGGUUUUUUUUUUUUAACAUGUUUAAGUAUUGCUAAGUCAAGCGUGCUUACUAAACUUUGUGAACCACUUGUUUAAAAGCACUAUAGUAAACUUACGGUUUUACUUUGGCAUCGUGUUAUUUUGUCUGUUUCCUGAUCAUGACAUUAUCUUACUUGCAAGAUGUACUAAUCUCUUAAGUGUUUCAAAUAAUUGAAGUCAUUAUGAGAAACCAUUUUGAAUUUUUUGUUUGUUUUUAAAUAUCACUCUUUUUAGAAUAUAAAUUAGUAAACAUUACCCAUAGCAUGCCAAAGUUCAUACUAAAUGAAGUACAAUUGAUGUACUAACAUCCUGUUAGCUUUCCUGUCACACUCAGUCUCUGUUGUUGCCUAUAAAGUGCCUUUCUGUGUUAGACUUAGCCCCAGUCUUGCUGAGUUCACAUAAUUAUGUGUUGUUCAAAAUGACAAUCUGACAUACAGGGCCAGUUUUCCACUUCUGCACUGUCAUUCUUUUUGCUUCAGCAAGGCAUAUCCUGUGUCUAAUAAACCAGCCUGAAGAUAUUUUAUUUUAUAUUUCUGGACUAUUUUCUGAUCAAUAACUGCUCAAAUAAACCAGAUUCCG
Ictalurus punctatus (channel catfish) is the source of this 1049-nucleotide long non-coding RNA. NCBI's taxonomy places the organism in Eukaryota, Metazoa, Chordata, Actinopteri, Siluriformes, Ictaluridae. The record is from Ensembl.